This 253-nucleotide ribosomal RNA is filed under the name uncultured bacterium. RNAcentral describes it as "partial 16S ribosomal RNA". It matches the Rfam family "Bacterial small subunit ribosomal RNA", at positions 524 to 776 of the family's 1533-position model. The record is from RNAcentral.
UCCGAGGGGUGCAAACGUUAUUCGGAUUUACUGGGCGUAAAGGGUGUGUAGGCGGCAUAUUGUGUCUGUUGUUAAAGACUCCAGCUUACCUGGAGAAGUGCAGCGGAAACUAAUGUGCUAGAGGAUGGAAGAGAGGAGUGGAAUUCCCGGAGUAGCGGUAAAAUGCGUAGAUCUCGGGAGGAACACCAAUGGCGAAGGCAGCUCCUUGGUCCAUUCCUGACGCUGAGACACGAAAGCGUGGGGAGCAAACAGG